GGUGGUGUAGCCAAGUGGUCAGGCAAGGGAUUGCAAAUCCCUCUACGCCGGUUCGAUUCCGGCCACCACCUCCA
This 74-nucleotide transfer RNA is filed under the name Planctomycetota bacterium. RNAcentral's name for it is "tRNA-Cys". It matches the Rfam family "tRNA". From Rfam's summary of the family: Transfer RNA (tRNA) molecules are approximately 80 nucleotides in length. Their secondary structure includes four short double-helical elements and three loops (D, anti-codon, and T loops). Lineage: Bacteria; Pseudomonadati; Planctomycetota. The record is from RNAcentral.